UUGGUCCUUCCGUGUCGCCGUACAUUCAUAGGAAGUCGUAUAGCGGUUGCUAGGACAACAUUGUUUAGCUUCGCUAGAGAACAAUGUGCUAUACGAGUAAAUAUCUGGUUUAAUUAAAUGAAAGAAAUCUCCUGAUAACGGAAAACCUGAUCAUUACACUGGGAAUGCAGGGACAGUAUAAUGGCUGUUCCUGUGUGGGCUCUCUCUCUCCCGCUGCCUGCCAUCGUCAUGAUCUCUGUGGGGAUCUAUAUGAUUGUCCUUGCGGCUGUGCUGUGGUGUCAUCACUGUCUCAAGGCCAAGUGUGAUCCACAGUGUUCAGAUUGCUGUGUAGGUUUCUCUCCUUGUGAGUACUGUUUAGUGUGUGCCCAGUCAUGUGACUGUCGCCCCCCCUCUCUGCGAUCCUGCCUGGACUACUCCUGCCCCUCCCCUAAUUGUGCGAUGUGGGAUUGUGCUUGUACCUGUCAACCACCAGAGUGUGACUCCAUCAACUGCUUUUGCUUUGAGAUCAAGUUUAAGUAGAAGGAAUGGUGGAGGGAAAGCGAUGCCUUAAAAGAUGCCUUAGAAACUCCAACUCCAAGUGACACUUAAGUAUGUUUUAAGCUAGAGAGAAAAACUGUAAUUCAAUCUUUGGUUGUUCUGUAAUGUUUGCAUCAUUUGGGAGACAUUACAGUAUCCUUCCUAUUCACGCUCAUUGAUUUAACCAAAAUGAACCUUUAAAAACUUGGUUCUAAAAGAUUUAGAUGUGCAUUUAUUGGGAAUAUACAUCGCUUAAUUGAGUCAUGUAUGGAUGUGAUGAGCAAGAUUAAUAAAUUCUUAAACAUAAUAUAUACUAUAAACACAGUACUAUAUUUAAGUCAUAUUGUGAUACCAGUAAUUCCUGAAAUACAUAAUCACUACAGAACAAUGGAAGACUGAAGCUAUGGUAAAGGUUUUAUUUUUGCAUGAAUGAAUUUGUAGCAUAAGGGUUUAAGCUGUGUCAUGGAUUUUUAAAGCAUGACAUUUAAUGGAAUUUUACAUUUCAGCACAGAAGGACAUUUUUUUUUUGUCAUUUCUAGUUUCCUGGUCAGCAAUAAUUAAUUAUGCUUUGUAUAGCCAAUGUGUUUCUCUGUGGUAUCAUUUUACUUGGUAUGAUGGACAUUUGUGCUUCAGUUAUGAGCCAAACAAAGAGAAGAGAGGAAUCUAUAAACCACACAUGCUGUUAAAUGUAUCUCAUUCUGACACAGAUGUCUUUGAACACAGAUGUGGACUGUAUGUUCACAUAUAUGUAUAUAAGAUACUGGUUCAUAUACUUAUAGUGACUUACCAAUUUUAGAUUGUUAAAACUUUUUUAUUCAUACUGUAAUACUGUUUACUAAUCUAAUUGUUUACAGGACAUCAUCUUGAUUGUUGCAUAUGAAAUAUGACCUAACUAUGUGUGCAUAAUGUAUAAUGUGAAAUAUGGUACAGUUAUGUAUGUGGCCAUAUUACAGCAGCAUACUAUGACUUACAAAGUAAACGUGCUGCGACUCAGUCACUUCUGUCUCUGUUGUCAGGCAAAACUUAAGUUGAAAUUAGUUUUUUGUAUAGAUUUUUUUAAUAUAAAUAUGUGCUAUUUUUGUAACUGUGUUGUUUUAAAAUGAAUUAAAGAUUUUUUUCAUGCAAAAAG
Molecule: long non-coding RNA, 1645 nt
Organism: Ctenopharyngodon idella (grass carp)
Lineage: Eukaryota; Metazoa; Chordata; Actinopteri; Cypriniformes; Xenocyprididae
Exons: 4
Source: RefSeq, a predicted model, not a curated record